ACACUAAAACCCAAAUCCUAAUUCUAGGCCCAAUUGGGUAAAGCCCAAAUCAAUAAACCCAAAAUAAUCCUCCUUCCUCUUUUCUUUUUCACGUGAAACCAACAAACCUCCUUCUUGCUUUAGACUUCACGUGAAAAACAAACUUCCAAACCCUGCUUCAGCACUUCGUGUUCUCCUCCUCACUUCAGUCGCCUGUCGCACCACCGUAGUGACCACCGCCGUCGAGCCAUCACCUCCGCCGUCCGCGACCACCACCAUCAACCAGACACCACCACCAGCAGCCGCGCAACCACCGCGUCGCCCUGCUGCUGCCGUACCCUCCACGCACAGCAGCACUCCUCUUUCUUCUCCACGCGUUCGUCUUCCCUUCUUCACGUCGUGCAACGACCUCCCUGCCACCUGAACCGCCGUCGCGCCACCAACCUUCGCGACCAUUUGUUCCUGCUGCCGCCGCCCCUUGUCGUCGGCCAGCCUCUUCUUCUCCCCUUCUUGUUUUGGCGAAGAAUUCUUUGUAGGCGACUUUUGAAUUCGUUAAAGUGGCCUAUCAGUUUGUUUACACAAGGUACGUACAUACCUGUGUGCUUGGAUGUGUGUUGUAUUGAGAAUAUGAUGAAUAUAUUUAUGAACUUGUUUAUGUUGGAAUUUCAUGUUCAAUGUCGUUGAAUUAAUGCGCUGAGCAUAGAACUUUAUUUAUAAGAAUUGAAUCAUGUUAGCAUGGAAUAUUGAUGCAAGCAUGUUGUUUUGAGGAACUUUAUAGUAUUUAAUAUUGGUUUAGAUCUUUAUUGAUCGUUGUUCCUCUUUAGAUUUUCACUACUUUAUAAGGGCCGAGGACCUUGUUUGGUAGUUGAACCUUAUACCUAAUAAAGGUUUUUAAAUAUGGAUAAAGGAAGGAUUAAAAUAGUUGGAAUUGGCUCUUGGUUGAACGUUGUGAUCACUUGUUUAAUUCAAAGAUAAAAGAAGUUGUGUUUACUUGUUGAAUAUAAUAUUUAUGUUUGAUGAGUCAUAACCAAGUAUUAAAAGUUAAGUCAUGUAAAGUGAAAAUGAGUAGCAAUAGCUUUAGACUGUGCACGUCUAAAGUGACGGACAAUCAGGAGUUGGGGUCAUGGGUAGCCUAUGAUUUUUUCUGGGGCCGGAUUGAUCACCGGUUCUAUUUUUAUUUAAAAGUCCCUCGAUAUCGCAGGUCAUUGGGGUUUACGGAGUCGCGCCCGUACCUCGUCUUCCUUAGUGAAGAAGAAGAAGUUUCUAGUAGCAACUCGGUCCAUUGACUAUUUCAAUUAAAAUAAUGUUAUUGUUGUAAAAGUCUAGUCCAGUGUAGCCUAGCCUAGUAAAGUGUUGUCGUCAAAUUAACAUGUUUUGUCUGCCCUUACUCGUGUUUUAUUAGUACCAUGUUAGGUUUGUUCGUUCAAUAGUAUCAUGUUAGGAUUAUUAUUGUUUUAGUAUGUAGUACUCAGCUUUGCUGAUUACGUGCUUUUGCUUGUGCAUGUUGAUCAUGGCUAUGCCUUAUUGAUCCUGUGAUGACCCAAUCUUUGGUGAGCAGUCUCUAAGGAUCAAUAAGCAUUGUCCAUCUGCAGGUUUGAAGAUGUUGCAUCAUUGGGAUCGGGAAUAGAGAGCUUGUAUUUAGUUUUGAUUUGCUAAGUUAACUUGGGUUUGUUAAUUGGGACUUUAAACUUGUCGUACUAUUUAUAUUUCCUUAUUUUCGUUGGAUGAUUUUGGGAUUAAACCUGUAAUCGAUUAUUUAUAAACCUAGAGUUAGUCUUA
This is a long non-coding RNA of Spinacia oleracea (spinach), 1758 nucleotides long. RefSeq lists it as uncharacterized. Lineage: Eukaryota; Viridiplantae; Streptophyta; Magnoliopsida; Caryophyllales; Amaranthaceae. The transcript is spliced from 3 exons. The record is from RefSeq and is a predicted model, not a curated record.